UGGAGAGUUUGAUCCUGGCUCAGGAUGAACGCUGGCGGCGUGCCUAAUACAUGCAAGUCGAGCGAACGGACGAGAAGCUUGCUUCUCUGAUGUUAGCGGCGGACGGGUGAGUAACACGUGGAUAACCUACCUAUAAGACUGGGAUAACUUCGGGAAACCGGAGCUAAUACAGGAUAAUAUUUUGAACCGCAUGGUUCAAAAGUGAAAGACGGUCUUGCUGUCACUUAUAGAUGGAUCCGCGCUGCAUUAGCUAGUUGGUAAGGUAACGGCUUACCAAGGCAACGAUGCAUAGCCGACCUGAGAGGGUGAUCGGCCACACUGGAACUGAGACACGGUCCAGA
This 341-nucleotide ribosomal RNA is filed under the name Staphylococcus aureus. Its description in RNAcentral is "bacterial SSU rRNA". It matches the Rfam family "Bacterial small subunit ribosomal RNA", at positions 1 to 335 of the family's 1533-position model. Lineage: Bacteria; Bacillati; Bacillota; Bacilli; Caryophanales; Staphylococcaceae. The record is from RNAcentral.